RNAcentral lists this ribosomal RNA (335 nucleotides) under uncultured bacterium. Its description in RNAcentral is "bacterial SSU rRNA". It matches the Rfam family "Bacterial small subunit ribosomal RNA", at positions 18 to 344 of the family's 1533-position model. The record is from RNAcentral.
CCUGGCUCAGGAUGAACGCUAGCGAUAGGCUUAACACAUGCAAGUCGAGGGGCAGCAUGGUCUUAGCUUGCUAAGACUGAUGGCGACCGGCGCACGGGUGCGUAACGCGUAUGCAACUUGCCUCACAGAGGGGGAUAACCCGUCGAAAGACGGACUAAUACCGCGUACACUUGGGAUAGGGCAUCCUGACCCAAGGAAAUGAAAUUCGCUGUGAGAUAGGCAUGCGUCCCAUUAGCUAGUUGGUGAGGUAACGGCUCACCAAGGCGACGAUGGGUAGGGGAACUGAGAGGUUGAACCCCCACACUGGUACUGAGACACGGACCAGACUCCUACGG